RNAcentral lists this ribosomal RNA (621 nucleotides) under bacterium w1cc25. RNAcentral's name for it is "bacterial SSU rRNA". It matches the Rfam family "Bacterial small subunit ribosomal RNA", at positions 47 to 660 of the family's 1533-position model. The record is from RNAcentral.
CCUAACACAUGCAAGUCGAACGGUAACAUAGGUUGCUUGCAACCUGAUGACGAGUGGCGCACGGGUGCGGAACGCGUAUGGAACCUGCCCCUGUCAGGGGAAUAGCCCAUGGAAACGUGGAUUAAUGCCCCAUGGUACCGCCCUAUCGCAUGAUAGGGUGGUUAAAGAUUUAUCGGACAGGGAUGGCCAUGCGUACCAUUAGCUGGUUGGUAGGGUAACGGCCUACCAAUGCAACGAUGGUUAGGGGCCCUGAGAGGGGGAUCCCCCACACUGGUACUGAGACACGGACCAGACUCCUACGGGAGGCAGCAGUGAGGAAUAUUGGACAAUGGUCGGAAGACUGAUCCAGCCAUGCCGCGUGCAGGAUGACGGCCCUAUGGGUUGUAAACUGCUUUUGUACGGGAAGAAACCCAGGUACGAGUACCUGGUUGACGGUACCGUAAGAAUAAGGACCGGCUAACUCCGUGCCAGCAGCCGCGGUAAUACGGAGGGUCCGAGCGUUAUCCGGAAUCAUUGGGUUUAAAGGGUCCGUAGGCNGGGCCUGUAAGUCAGAGGUGAAAGGCCACGGCUCAACCGUGGGACUGCCUUUGAUACUGCAGGUCUUGAGUCAUGGUGGGGUUU